UGAAUACGAGAUGCUACGGCGUCGAAGCAGUGUAUGUCAGACUUCCAAGAAAAGCUCGCAAUGUCAUAAAUAAAGAAUGCCUGUACCAUAACCGACACAGGUGGGUAGGUAGAGUAUACUAAGGGGCGCGAGAUAACUCUCUCUGAGGAACUCGGCAAAAUAACUCCGUAACUUCGGGAGAAGGAGUGCCUUCUUUAAGAAGGUUGCAAUAACAAGAUCCAAGCAACUGUUUAUCAAAAACACAGGUCUCCGCUAAGUCGUAAGACGAUGUAUGAGGGCUGACGCCUGCCCAGUGCCAGAAGGUUAAAGAAGUUGGUUAGCUUUUGCGAAGCUGAUGACUGAAGCCCUGGUGAACGGCGGCCGUAACAAUAACGGUCCUAAGGUAGCGAAAUUCCUUGUCGGGUAAGUUCCGACCCGCACGAAAGGCGUAAUGAUUUGGAUACUGUCUCGGAGAGGGACUCGGUGAAAUGGACUUGUCUGUGAAGAUGCGGACUACCUGCACCAGGACAGAAAGACCCUAUGAAGCUUUACUGUAACUUGAAAUUGAAAUUGGACUUUAUUUGCGCAGCAUAGGUGGAAGGCGUUGAAAGUAAUCUUGCGGGAUUAGUGGAGCCAUCAGUGAGAUACCACUCCUAUAAUGUUAGAUUUCCAACUUUGGAUCAUGAUCUGGUCAAAGAACAGUUUCAGGCGGGCAGUUUGACUGGGGCGGUCGCCUCCCAAAUGGUAACGGAGGCGUACAAAGGUUUCCUCUGAACGGGUAGAAAUCGUAUCUAGAGUGUAAAGGCAUAAGGAAGCUUGACUGUGAGACCUACAAGUCGAGCAGGGACGAAAGUCGGUCUUAGUGAUCUGACGGUGCUGAGUGGAAAGGCCGUCAGUCAACGGAUAAAAGUUACUCUAAGGAUAACAGGCUGAUCUCCCCCAAGAGUUCACAUCGACGGGGAGGUUUGGCACCUCGAUGUCGGCUCAUCGCAUCCUGGGGCGGUAGUACGUCCCAAGGGUUGGGCUGUUCGCCCAUGAAAGCGGUACGCGAGCUGGGUUCAGAACGUUGUGAGACAGUUCGGUCCAUAUCCGGUGUAGGCGUUAGAAUAUUGAGAGGAGCCUUCUUUAGUACGAGAGGACCGAGAAGGACAUACCUCUGGUGUACCAGUUAUCGUGCCAACGGUAAACGCUGGGUAGCUAUGUAUGGAGAGGAUAACCGCUGAAAGCAUCUAAGUGGGAAGCCCACCUCAAGAUGAGUAUUCUCAU
RNAcentral lists this ribosomal RNA (1245 nucleotides) under metagenome. Its description in RNAcentral is "bacterial LSU rRNA". It matches the Rfam family "Bacterial large subunit ribosomal RNA", at positions 1564 to 2817 of the family's 2925-position model. The record is from RNAcentral.